This 2696-nucleotide unclassified non-coding RNA is filed under the name Centruroides sculpturatus (bark scorpion). RNAcentral's name for it is "zinc finger with UFM1-specific peptidase domain protein-like, transcript variant X2". Lineage: Eukaryota; Metazoa; Arthropoda; Arachnida; Scorpiones; Buthidae. The record is from RNAcentral.
GAUGACAAUGAAAGAAAGGCGCAGGCGAGAAUCUUCGGUGUGGAGGUUAUUCUUAGAUGAUCCGGUCGCACGCGACUGUGGACGGCAAUUUGUGUUCCUGAUUUGAUUUGUUUUUAAAAAUCAAAUUUAAAAAUACGUAUUAUUCGUAUUUAUCUUAUUAAAAUUAGGUAGAAAAAUAUGGUUAUAAUUGUGGUAAAUCGUUAUCGGUGAAGGUUAAUCCAAUUUCCGGAUAUGCCGGCGGAAAAAAUCAAUUUUGUUUUCUGUAUAUAAUUUUUAUAAUUUCGAGAUCCAUGGCAGCUAAGCAUCCCGACACGCUUUAUUGCUGCGAUAUUUGUGGAGAGGAAGAGCUAACGGAAGAUGAUAUGAGAUCUCAUACCAUGAUCGCCCACAUAGAAGGGGCCAUAUCAUGCCCCUUUUGUGAUCUGGGAGACAUUUCUGCCGACGAAAUGGUCUAUCACGUUAGUACAGUGCAUCUCCAGUAUUUAAGCCCCGUGGGUGACAAGAUGAGGUGUGCCUCCACGUCAAAUGAUUCUUUGGAACGGUUCGUGAUGACCGAUAAUAAUAAUUCUGCCAGCGAAAGUAACGUGGGAUGUUAUUCGCCGCAUAGAGGGAAUCUUUCUUUGAAUUUGCCUCCUUCGCAGUGGAGGAGGGAUAUUUCCAGUCCUAGAGUCACAAAUGGUGAUAGGAUCACCACUUGUCCUCUCUGUGAUUACGGAAAUCCCUCGCCCACUAAACUUCAGGAACACAUCAACCGUCAACAUUUUGAUCUCACUAGUCCAUCGUUUCCAGACUUUGUUAACUGUGACCGAUCUCACAACAGACCCUUCACCUGUCCUCUGUGCAACAGGAACUUUGAGACCAGUCCCGACUUGGAACUGCACGUCAACAUGGACCAUCGAGACGUUCUCAGUCCCGCGAAAUCCACUCAGGUGACUCCCGGUGAUGAAAAUUCUAAUGAGUGUUGUCCCGUGUGUGGUUGCUCUAAUUUUAAUUGUGGCCUUGAAUUGGCUUCUCACAUAGAAGAGCACUUUAGUCAACAGUCUCCUAAUGGAAUGGUAUCUGCUUCUCGAACGCCUAUAAAUUUCGUGAGUCCGGUAGUAAACGAUGGUGAUGCUAGUGCAGAUCAUCUAUUGGCAUUGGAAAUGGAACACAGGGAGCGGGAGCAGCAACGUCUUAGAGAACAACAAGAAUUUCGUUUAUUGCAGGCACAAUAUGGCAUGGAUAACCAGGGAAAUUUCAGGGAACAAUCUAUCACAAAUAUGCAGAGAGCUGUUUAUGCUGGAGAAAUGAGUGUAACAGAUUAUUACAAUCGCCAAGUAGAACUUUGUAUUGCAGAAAGAGAUGGAGUAGACGAUGGCCAUUCUUGUAUUAAAGGUUUAAUACCAAAAAUAAGAGCUUUCAGCAUGGCUACUACUAAUGUAGAACAUACGUGGCUUUGUACCACUGUUGAUCAUUAUGGUUCCACUUACGGAGAUAAAGGAUGGGGAUGUGGGUAUCGUAACAUUCAGAUGCUGCUAUCAGCUUUAGUGCAUCAUACAGGUUAUAAUCACCGAUUAUUUAAUGGAAAGAAUUCAAUUCCUUCAAUAUCCAAAUUGCAAGAAUUAAUAGAAAAUGCUUGGCGCCAUGGUUUUGAUCCUCAAGGAUGUGAGCAGCUUGGAGGAAGGCUCACAAACACAAGAAAAUGGAUUGGUGCUACAGAAGUUGUUACUUUUCUUUCUUCAUUUCGUAUUAAGUGUAUUUUAAUAGACUGCCAUACUGCUACGGGUCCAAAUGGUACACACCCCGAAAUGUUUCAGUGGGUGAAGGAAUAUUUCACAAAAGAUGAUGAUUUUCUUUCUCCAAUCUACCUCCAACACCAUGGGCACAGUAGGACUAUUAUUGGAAUUGAGGAAUUAAAAGAUGGAGAACUUCAGCUAUUAGUAUUUGAUCCUAGUCAUAGUAAAGCUCAAAUGGAGCAAUUCAAUAACACUGCCUGUAAUGCUAAUGCCAUGCGUCUAGUACGGCGGCCACUGUCUGCACUGAAAGCUCGACAAUAUCAACUAGUCACCGUAAAUGGACUUAUGGAAACAGAGGAAGAAUUUCAGAAAAGCAAAAUCCUACGUUCUCAACGAAUCCCUCCAAACUAAAAGCUUUCCUUUGGACUUGCCUUCUGUAAUAUGCUUCUGCGGGCAGCAUAUCCUUAUCUUCAUUCUCUUUCGAAAAUGGUUAAGGAUGUCCAGAGUGAUAAUUAUAUUGUAGGAGAAACUUUUUAUAUUCGACUCAUUUUUUAACAGCUUAUUACUCAAAGGUUAUAAUUUGUAUCGUGUUUUUGUUACAAACACCAAAAAAAAAAAUAAUAAAAAAUACUCUUCCGUUUGUUUGUUUUUAAGUGCGAUACUUGCCCGGCUUUGAAAAAAUUGUAAUUCACGAUUAUUUAGAGAGCUAUGCACCGAAUGUGUUGACGAAAAAUAUUCCACUUUACUCCAAGCUGAAAUUGGCAAUGCUAAAUAAUGUUUAAAUCAAAUUUUGGCAACUGAGGAUUGUAAGUUUAUUGUUGAUAAAUUUGUUGUUUGCUGCUCAACAACUUCAAAAAGACGAAUGAUGUGUAAGAUAAUGGUAAGGAAUUAUGUGCCUUACUGAAAAUGUGUAGCAGAUGAAUUGUGAAGUUUGUAAGAAAAAGAAGCAUGUUUUGAUGAUAGAAUAAAAAGUAAAACUUU